This 337-nucleotide ribosomal RNA is filed under the name Paraphysomonas vestita. RNAcentral's name for it is "partial Bacterial small subunit ribosomal RNA". It matches the Rfam family "Bacterial small subunit ribosomal RNA", at positions 638 to 983 of the family's 1533-position model. The record is from RNAcentral. Lineage: Eukaryota; Chrysophyceae; Chromulinales; Paraphysomonadaceae.
UACCUAGAGUUAAAAACAAGAUAAUAGAAUUUUAUAAAUAGGGAUAGCAUCCAAAGAUUUAUAAGAGAAUGCCUGUGGUGAAAACGAUUAUCAUGUUUUAACUGACAUUGAGGAACGAAAGCUUAGGUAGCAAACAGGAUUUGAUACCCUGGUAGUCUUUGCUGUCACAUAUGAGUGCUAAUAUUUAGUAUUUACUUAAUAUACAGCUAACGCGUAAGCACUCCGCCUGGGAAGUACGAUCGCAAGAUUGGAACCCAAAGGAAUUGACGGGGAUCUACACAAGUGGUGGAGCAUGUGGUUUAAUGCGAUAAUACGCGCGAAACCUUACCAGUUUUUG